Molecule: ribosomal RNA, 650 nt
Filed under: uncultured bacterium
Lineage: Bacteria
Description: bacterial SSU rRNA
Rfam family: Bacterial small subunit ribosomal RNA
Source: RNAcentral
GCCUAACACAUGCAAGUCGAACGAAGUAGCAAUACUUAGUGGCAGACGGGUGAGUAACAUGUAGGUAUCUGCCCUUUGGCCUGGAAUAACACGAGGAAACUUGUGCUAAUACCGGAUAAGUCUUUACAGAGAAAGCUUUAUGCACCAUUGGAUGAGCCUGCACUUGAUUAGUUAGUUGGUAGGGUAAUGGCCUACCAAGACUUUGAUCAAUAGCUGAUUUGAGAGGAUGAUCAGCCACAUUGGGACUGAGACACGGCCCAAACUCCUACGGGAGGCAGCAGUGGGGAAUCUUGCACAAUGGAGGAAACUCUGAUGCAGCGAUGCCGCGUGAGUGAAGAAGGCCUUUGGGUUGUAAAGCUCUUUCGUCGGGGAAGAAAAUGACUGUACCCGAAUAAGAAGGUCCGGCUAACUUCGUGCCAGCAGCCGCGGUAAUACGAAGGGACCUAGCGUAGUUCGGAAUUACUGGGCUUAAAGAGUUCGUAGGUGGUUGAAAAAGUUGGUGGUGAAAUCCCAGAGCUUAACUCUGGAACUGCCAUCAAAACUUUUCAGCUAGAGUAUGAUAGAGGAAAGCAGAAUUUCUAGUGUAGAGGUGAAAUUCGUAGAUAUUAGAAAGAAUACCAAUUGCGAAGGCAGCUUUCUGGAUCAUUACU